This 273-nucleotide ribosomal RNA is filed under the name uncultured bacterium. RNAcentral's name for it is "partial 16S ribosomal RNA". It matches the Rfam family "Bacterial small subunit ribosomal RNA", at positions 524 to 796 of the family's 1533-position model. The record is from RNAcentral.
UACGAAGGGGGCUAGCGUUGUUCGGAAUUACUGGGCGUAAAGCGCACGUAGGCGGACAUUUAAGUCAGGGGUGAAAUCCCGGGGCUCAACCCCGGAACUGCCUUUGAUACUGGGUGUCUGGAGUAUGGAAGAGGUGAGUGGAAUUCCGAGUGUAGAGGUGAAAUUCGUAGAUAUUCGGAGGAACACCAGUGGCGAAGGCGGCUCACUGGUCCAUUACUGACGCUGAGGUGCGAAAGCGUGGGGAGCAAACAGGAUUAGAUAACCUAGUAGUCC